This 584-nucleotide ribosomal RNA is filed under the name uncultured bacterium. RNAcentral's name for it is "bacterial SSU rRNA". It matches the Rfam family "Bacterial small subunit ribosomal RNA", at positions 837 to 1415 of the family's 1533-position model. The record is from RNAcentral.
UCUUNCGCGCCGUAGCUAACGCAUUAAGUGCCCCGCCUGGGGAGUACGGCCGCAAGGCUAAAACUCAAAGGAAUUGACGGGGGCCCGCACAAGCGGCGGAGCAUGCGGAUUAAUUCGAUGCAACGCGAAGAACCUUACCAAGGCUUGACAUGUGCCGGUCUGCUCCGGAGACGGGGUUUCCUCCUUUGUGGGGGCUGGUUCACAGGUGGUGCAUGGUUGUCGUCAGCUCGUGUCGUGAGAUGUUGGGUUAAGUCCCGCAACGAGCGCAACCCUUGUCUCGUGUUGCCAGCACGUUGUGGUGGGGACUCGCGGGAGACUGCCGGGGUCAACUCGGAGGAAGGUGGGGAUGACGUCAAAUCAUCAUGCCCCUUAUGUCUUGGGCUUCACGCAUGCUACAAUGGCCGGUACAGAGGGCUGCGAUACCGUGAGGUGGAGCGAAUCCUUUAAAGCCGGUCUCAGUUCGGAUCGGUGUCUGCAACUCGACACCGUGAAGUUGGAGUCGCUAGUAAUCGCAGAUCAGCAACGCUGCGGUGAAUACGUUCUCGGGCCUUGUACACACCGCCCGUCACGUCAUGAAAGUCGNC